GACGAACGCUGGCGGCGUGCUUAACACAUGCAAGUCGAACGGUAAGGCUCCAGCUUGCUGGGGUACACGAGUGGCGAACGGGUGAGUAACACGUGGGUGACCUGCCCUGCACUUCGGGAUAAGCCUGGGAAACUGGGUCUAAUACCGGAUAGGACUGCACCGUGAGGGUGUGGUGGAAAGUUUUUUCGGUGUGGGGUGGGCCCGCGGCCUAUCAGCUUGUUGGUGGGGUAAUGGCCUACCAAGGCGGCGACGGGUAGCCGGCCUGAGAGGGUGGACGGCCACAUUGGGACUGAGACACGGCCCAGACUCCUACGGGAGGCAGCAGUGGGGAAUAUUGCACAAUGGGCGGAAGCCUGAUGCAGCGACGCCGCGUGGGGGAUGACGGCCUUCGGGUUGUAAACUCCUUUCACCAUCGACGAAGGGUUUCUGACGGUAGAUGGAGAAGAAGCACCGGCUAACUACGUG
Molecule: ribosomal RNA, 465 nt
Filed under: uncultured bacterium
Lineage: Bacteria
Description: partial 16S ribosomal RNA
Rfam family: Bacterial small subunit ribosomal RNA
Source: RNAcentral